UACGUAGGGUGCGAGCGUUGUCCGGAAUUAUUGGGCGUAAAGAGCUCGUAGGUGGUUUGUCGCGUUGUCCGUGAAAACUCACAGCUCAACUGUGGGCGUGCGGGCGAUACGGGCAGGCUAGAGUUCGGUAGGGGAGACUGGAAUUCCUGGUGUAGCGGUGAAAUGCGCAGAUAUCAGGAGGAACACCGGUGGCGAAGGCGGGUCUCUGGGCCGAUACUGACGCUGAGGAGCGAAAGCGUGGGGAGCGAACAGG
This 253-nucleotide ribosomal RNA is filed under the name uncultured bacterium. RNAcentral describes it as "partial 16S ribosomal RNA". It matches the Rfam family "Bacterial small subunit ribosomal RNA", at positions 524 to 776 of the family's 1533-position model. The record is from RNAcentral.